RNAcentral lists this ribosomal RNA (847 nucleotides) under Phanerochaete sp. RNAcentral describes it as "partial large subunit ribosomal RNA". It matches the Rfam family "Eukaryotic large subunit ribosomal RNA", at positions 75 to 909 of the family's 3401-position model. The record is from RNAcentral. Lineage: Eukaryota; Fungi; Basidiomycota; Agaricomycetes; Polyporales; Phanerochaetaceae.
UUCCCCUAGUAACUGCGAGUGAAGCGGGAAAAGCUCAAAUUUAAAAUCUGGCAGUCUUUGGCUGUCCGAGUUGUAAUCUGGAGAAGCGUUUUCUGUGCUGGACCGUGUACAAGUCUCCUGGAACGGAGCGUCAUAGAGGGUGAGAAUCCCGUCUUUGGCACGGACUACCAGUGCUUUGUGAUGCGCUCUCAAAGAGUCGAGUUGUUUGGGAAUGCAGCUCCAAAUGGGUGGUAAACUCCAUCUAAAGCUAAAUAUUGGCGAGAGACCGAUAGCGAACAAGUACCGUGAGGGAAAGAUGAAAAGCACUUUGGAAAGAGAGUUAAACAGUACGUGAAAUUGCUGAAAGGGAAACGCUUGAAGUCAGUCGCGUUUGCUAGGACUCAGCCUUGUCUCGACUUGGUGCAUUUCCUAGUGGACGGGCCAGCAUCAUUUUUGGCUGCGGGAAAAAGGUCAGAGGAACGUGGCACCUCCGGGUGUGUUAUAGCCUCUGGCUGUAUACCGUGGCCGGGAGUGAGGAACUCAGCACGCCUUCAUGGCGGGGCUUCGGCCACCUUCGUGCUUAGGAUGCUGGUGUAAUGGCUUUAAGCGACCCGUCUUGAAACACGGACCAAGGAGUCUAACAUGCCUGCGAGUGUUUGGGUGGAAAACCCGAGCGCGUAAUGAAAGUGAAAGUUGGGACCUCUGUCGUGGAGGGCACCGACGCCCGGACCUGAACUUCGGCGACGGCUCUGCGGUAGAGCAUGCAUGUUGGGACCCGAAAGAUGGUGAACUAUGCCUGAUAGGGUGAAGCCAGAGGAAACUCUGGUGGAGGCUCGUAGCGAUUCUGACGUGCAAAUCGAUCGUCAAA